RNAcentral lists this transfer RNA (37 nucleotides) under Praomys daltoni complex sp. ecotype derooi. Its description in RNAcentral is "partial tRNA-Asp". The record is from RNAcentral. Lineage: Eukaryota; Metazoa; Chordata; Mammalia; Rodentia; Muridae.
AAGAUAUUAGUAAAAUCAUUACAUAACUUUGUCAAAG